Molecule: non-coding RNA, 120 nt
Filed under: Jeotgalibacillus malaysiensis
Lineage: Bacteria; Bacillati; Bacillota; Bacilli; Caryophanales; Caryophanaceae
Description: SAM-I sequence
Rfam family: SAM riboswitch aptamer (S box leader)
About the family: The SAM riboswitch is found upstream of a number of genes which code for proteins involved in methionine or cysteine biosynthesis in Gram-positive bacteria. The SAM riboswitch acts at the level of transcription termination control.
Source: RNAcentral
CUCUUAUCGAGAGUUGGCUGAGGGAAUUGGCCCUAUGAAGCCCGGCAACCGGCCCGCUGUAUACAUUCAGCAGGGACACGGUGCUACAUCCAACAGACGUAAUGGUCUGAGAGAUAAGAG